GCCGGUGUUGCUCAGUGGUUAGAGUGUCAGUCUGCACACUGGAGGGUCAUGGGUUUGAUUCCCCUCAAGGGCA
This 73-nucleotide transfer RNA is filed under the name Myotis lucifugus (little brown bat). It matches the Rfam family "tRNA". From Rfam's summary of the family: Transfer RNA (tRNA) molecules are approximately 80 nucleotides in length. Their secondary structure includes four short double-helical elements and three loops (D, anti-codon, and T loops). Lineage: Eukaryota; Metazoa; Chordata; Mammalia; Chiroptera; Vespertilionidae. The record is from Rfam by way of RNAcentral.